Molecule: long non-coding RNA, 1951 nt
Organism: Ochotona curzoniae (black-lipped pika)
Lineage: Eukaryota; Metazoa; Chordata; Mammalia; Lagomorpha; Ochotonidae
Exons: 3
Source: RefSeq, a predicted model, not a curated record
UCACGCUGCGGGUGUCUGUCCAGUGAUUCAGCCACAUUUGAUAGAUGACCAAGUGGCUGUUUUCUUGGGUUCUGCACAGCAGUGGAAGACAAACUGAUUGUGGCCGACUUGAUCCAACUCUGGUUUCCUGAACUGGAAAAGCGCCUGUGUGAUCUGGAACAAAGACGUUUUAUAAUCAGAUUUAUCAAGCUGCGAAAGAGGGAGUUUUAGCGAGCGGCAGCAGAAGCAUACUGUCACCAGGAAAUACUGCUUUAUCCUGAAUUGGGUUCCUCCCAAGAAGGCUGCAGAAGAUCAUCCAGCUGCCAGAAGGUCUAGGUGCCCUCAAUGGCUCAGUAGCCAGUGUAGAUCCUGUCUUUGGUAAUCAGUAGCUACAUCUGGCUACUGGGUCUCUGAUGGCAUCCUCUAGCUUCUGUUACAGAAGACUAUCAAGACUCCUGAGGAAGGCCACUGGGCAACAUGCAAUAAUGAAAGCUUUAUCCUGACUUAUACAUACAUAGAGAGAGAAAGAGAGAAUCAGCUUCUGGGGUAUUCAGGCCUCUAUUGUUAGCUGGACUUACAGAAUCAUCAAGGUUUGAUGCACACUGUUGAAGUCUCUUUGCUUAGCACCAGGGAAAGGAAUCCAAAUCAUUUCAUGUUUGUCUGCCUGCCGGCCUACCAGUUAUCUACCUGCCUUUCCACUUAUCAUCUUUCUACCAAACUAUCAAGCUACCCAUUCCUUCAUGGCCUCUUUCUCAUUUCUUAACUUCUAGAUAGCAUUUUCAAAAUAAUAUGGUGAUUAAAGAAUGAGAUCUUGAUGGAAUUGUAAUUGGUGCAAGUAUGUUCCAGCAAGUCUGACUCUUGAUUUUGUUUCCCAGUGGUAGAGGACACAAAUGCCAAUUUUGUAAUCUUCAAUGUGACAAUUGUGUCUAAGGAUUCUACAAGGAUAUUCUCCAAAAUGAAUAUCCAGGUGUGUGGCUUGAACCUGGCAUACAAUGUAGAUUUCUGUAUUUUCUGGGCAACAGCUACAUUGUCUGCUGGGUUUCAGGCUACCUGGAAACACAUUCUGCAAUGAUCAUCUCAUCAAUGCAAUAACUGUAAUGUUUGAUUUUCCAUGAUGCGUAAACCAGUAAGGUUUUCCAUCGGAUAGAAUGCAGAGAAAGAAUCAUAUAAAAGCUGAUCAUGUUAGCAAAGAAUGCCUUAUGUUUUCACCCAAAGUAUAUGGCUGCCUGACCAACUGACAACAUAUGAUGCCAUCCUUCUUUCUCCUUGCCUCAUCUCUCAAGCAGUAACCAUUCCCAUUAAUUAUUAUCAGAAUAUAUGGUACCAGCAGGCCUGAUCACACUGCCUUGUGAUGUUGUCUUUCCUCCUCCUUGUGGGUUCUCACUUGCCUGCUCUCCUUUUAUCAUAACCUCUUAACUUUCAUGAAUGACCCUUGGUCCCACGGGAGUCUGAAUCUUUUUGUGCCCUAAUAUCCUGCUCCAUCAUGUUCUACCUGAAAGUGAACUGUGGAUAUCAGGGAAGCUGGAGUUUUUACCUUUGUUUGCCAUCACGUGUGAAACUGGUAGAGUAGCUUUCUUACGGAAUUACAGAUAGUAUGUAGUGUUAAAACGUCAGCAUGCAGCAAGAAGAAAACAGAAAGCUUUAGUGGAAAAAAUCUGAUGCAAUGCCUUGUAAAUAAAUUUAAUCCUACAAAAUGUUUUAGAAACUAAUAAUUUAACCUGUUACAUUUUCCAUGAUGAUGUGCUUAAAAGAAUUUAUUAACUCUUCUUCACAUGAACUGGAGCUGUUUAAUAAGAAAUCUUGUGUCCUUAGUUACUAUGAAUUUACUGAUUUAAAAUAGAAAAUGUGCAUGUGGAAUGCAAAGGAAAAUGUCUGCAUGUCAUGACUGAUUAACUGAUUGUAGUGAUACAAAGGCGUUUUUGCCACCCCAUUCUGAGUUCAGUGAAAAUAAAGACUUGGAGAUUUUGAAAGA